GACGAACGCUGGCGGCGUGCUUAACACAUGCAAGUCGAACGGAAAGGCCCUGCUUUUGUGGGGUGCUCGAGUGGCGAACGGGUGAGUAACACGUGGGUAACCUGCCCUUGACUUUGGGAUAACUUCAGGAAACUGGGGCUAAUACCGGAUAGGAGCUCCUGCUGCAUGGUGGGGGUUGGAAAGUUUCGGCGGUUGGGGAUGGACUCGCGGCUUAUCAGCUUGUUGGUGGGGUAGUGGCUUACCAAGGCUUUGACGGGUAGCCGGCCUGAGAGGGUGACCGGCCACAAUGGGACUGAGAUACGGCCCAGACUCCUACGGGAGGCAGCAGGGGGGAAUAUUGCACAAUGGGCGGAAGCCUGAUGCAGAAACGCCGCGUGCGGGAUGACGGCCUUCGGGUUGUAAACCGCUUUCGCCUGUGACGAAGCGUGAGUGACGGUAAUGGGUAAAGAAGCACCGGCUAACUACGUG
This 468-nucleotide ribosomal RNA is filed under the name uncultured bacterium. RNAcentral's name for it is "partial 16S ribosomal RNA". It matches the Rfam family "Bacterial small subunit ribosomal RNA", at positions 28 to 507 of the family's 1533-position model. The record is from RNAcentral.